AAAAAAUGCAUAUUGUGAUGCAUCGAAGAGAGCAUUAUCUGAGAUGGAGCUGGAAGAGUUAGACAAGUCCAUGAAAUCUUUGCAAUCGGAUCUCUCCAUAACAAUUUAACAAAAAUCACACAAAAUAAAUUGAAAAAAAAAUUACAACAAACGUAACCAUAUGUUCACCGACCCAGAUAAGGAGAAAGAUUGAAUCUUUCACCGAAUCAAAGAGAAAAAAACCCUCAAAUUUGCUAAAAAUGAAAGAAAAAAGCAGAGGUUUUUAGGGGUUUCGAAGAAAUACGGAGAGAAAAGACAUAGCGUGAAUAUGCACAUUACGUGUUUGGUUAAA
Molecule: unclassified non-coding RNA, 331 nt
Filed under: Hevea brasiliensis (rubber tree)
Lineage: Eukaryota; Viridiplantae; Streptophyta; Magnoliopsida; Malpighiales; Euphorbiaceae
Source: RNAcentral